CCGAGUCUUGGGACCCUCUGGGUACCAGCUCCCACCAAUUGUGAACCUUUUUCGUUGCCUCGGCGGACCUGAUGGUACCCAUCCUCCGGCUCAUCGCUGGGGAGUGUCCGCCGAUGGAUUUUCAAACCCGUCUUAAACCUUGAAAUCUGAGUUAAACAAAAUAAAAACA
This 169-nucleotide unclassified non-coding RNA is filed under the name uncultured fungus. RNAcentral's name for it is "sequence contains ITS1". Lineage: Eukaryota; Fungi. The record is from RNAcentral.